Molecule: long non-coding RNA, 171 nt
Organism: Zophobas morio
Lineage: Eukaryota; Metazoa; Arthropoda; Insecta; Coleoptera; Tenebrionidae
Exons: 3
Source: RefSeq, a predicted model, not a curated record
GAGAUUUAAAACGAAAACCAACUAACUCUUAUAGGAUAAGAAUACUUUUAAUGUCUCAAGCAUUUGAUUUGGAUCAUCAGCAGAGGAUGGCUCAGUUGCCAACUAAGCGCUAUAUGUUGUAUACCUGGAAGAAAGUCAACCUACUCUUAUUGAAAUAAUAAAGUUCCCACC